Molecule: ribosomal RNA, 32 nt
Filed under: Plumbago auriculata (Cape leadwort)
Lineage: Eukaryota; Viridiplantae; Streptophyta; Magnoliopsida; Caryophyllales; Plumbaginaceae
Description: partial 26S ribosomal RNA
Source: RNAcentral
UGCGACCUCCAGGUCAGGCGGGCAGCCUCGAA